Molecule: long non-coding RNA, 256 nt
Filed under: Olea europaea subsp. europaea
Lineage: Eukaryota; Viridiplantae; Streptophyta; Magnoliopsida; Lamiales; Oleaceae
Source: RNAcentral
CACAACCUACGAUUGUUGACCCUUUAGAAUUCUUACGCAAUUAGGACUCUAACUCAACCAUAUAUUUGACUCCUGCAAGGUUCUAUCCCACAUAUAAUUAUGGAAUUUGACCAACUCCUUAACUAUUUAGGACUCCAACAGAUAAGGACAUCCAGCUAGUUGAGUCCCACUAGGAGAAUGUCGCUUACUACUAUAAAUACAGAACCUUGAGCCAUUAUUCAGGUACGUUUUUCAUUAUUUUCCAGCAUAUAGUCUC